GGCCGAAGGUUUCCUCCUGAGUCAGGCAGAGGAGAGGAAGCAGGGAAAGGAUCCGUUUGCUGAAAUGGGUCCUGAUUUCUCUGAAGUAGAGAAGUCUCUGUUGGACACCAGAGAUAAGCCACUGGGUGAAAGAAGGAUGCCGGCAAGACCUCCUCCUCCAUCUCUUCAUCCUGGUGGAGGGGAAGCAGCGGCUGAGGAACCGGAUCAGGUGCGGGGAAGGAGCCAUGGGGGGAAAGGGGCUGAGGGUGAGGGACAGAGGGCAUUUCUGAGACGGAACAAAUCUCUCCCCUCCUCAUUGCUUCUGUCAAAGCUGCCCUUAACAAAGGCUGAAAAUGCCAUUAAUGAAGGUUUAUGCUCCGAGUAGCCCCUUCACCUUAACUCUGAAUGUCGCUAGUAUUAUUCGUUAUAAAUUCUCUUUGAGACAUCUGGGGAGUCUUUCCAUCCCAGAACAACACACAGGGAGAGGAGAGAGGGAUUCUUCCAUUUGGCAAACUGGAAUGCUUGCAUAGACAUAUUGAUCUGAAUAAAACAACAUGGAGUUCAUUAAAAUAAGCACCAGUAAUCCAAAUGUGCAACAGACCAAUCCAAUUAAAACAACCCAGGCAGGAAGCAAAAGAGCAACGUGCAGGAAAUAAUCUUUAUGCUGCCUAAGAGAAGGAUAUUUUUAUUUCAGAGCUCAG
Podarcis muralis (Common wall lizard) is the source of this 680-nucleotide non-coding RNA. NCBI's taxonomy places the organism in Eukaryota, Metazoa, Chordata, Lepidosauria, Squamata, Lacertidae. The record is from RefSeq and is a predicted model, not a curated record.